AAAGAACAAAGUUUUGUCCAUCUUUAUUCAUCAUAGCUGAAAGUUAGAGAAGAGAAAGGAGAGGAGAAAGCUUUUGAGUAUUCAGUCAUUAGGAGGAGGAAAAUUGAAGGUAAGUUCUUGGUACCUUGCUUUUAUUUUGAGGUUCAUGAGUUCUUCUUGAUUCUACCUUAACUCUUGAAGUAUAUUUUGAUUUUUAGUUGUGUUGUGAGCAUUUAGUCAUGAAUUAAAAUGAAGGAAAUGGUUGUUGUUUCAUGUUCUUUUGAUGAAAAAUGGAAGAUAGGUGAAGUUGAGCCAAACAAAUGAGCAUACAUGUGCCUUAGAUGUUAAAGGGAAAAAUCAGCUAACAUGUUGUGCUUUAAAAUGAUGAAAUGGAGAUUAUACUUAAGUAAAAUCAUAGAUAUGUGAUGAUUGAUUGGUGAUAUACAUGUUUAAAUAACAUCCAUGCAAGGUAUGUGUGAAAGAGUGAUUUGGUAAUAAAUCUGCUUGGGACAGAAGCAGUAACGUGACUUUGGAAAAUUACCAUAAAUUUUGGGAGAAGAAUUAGAAGCUGAAUAAAUUAUGUAAUUAAAGCUUAUUGAGUCUAGUUUCAAAUGAAAUAAACAAGAACAUAUUUUGAAUUCUGUACAAUGAGAAAUUUGAUUCGUAAUGAAGAGUGGUCAAAUUAGUCAAACAGUGAAACAUUGGAAACUUUAAGAAAAAUCUGGUAUUGAUUGGCUAGACCAAAAAUUCUGAAAAUUUUAUGGAUAGAAGAUAUAUGAGUCUAUUUUCAUGGAAAAUUAACGGCACUUGAUUUGGAGUUUCUUAGCUCCAUUUAUAAAUGAUUUAGUUACUGUUGCUCAGGAAGACAGCUUGCAGUGAAAUUAUGAUUAUGUGGUAAACAUUGACAAAAAUUUGUUAAUAAGUUGCUUAUUGAUUUCUUAUAAGCUUACUAUAAUCUGUAGGUGUGGUUGGCCGAAUAUGGUAUGGGGUUAAUAUGUAGUUCGUGUUUGAAUAGUUAGAUUAACGUGUUAGUAAUCCAAUUGUAGGCAGUUCGUGUGUGUGGAUCUCGUCAGCAUAUCGUCGCAAACAGGUGUGUAACUAAUACCCUCUUUCUUAGUCUAGAUUGACAAAAGCUGAAAUGUCGAAAACCGUUAUUUUGUAGAUUUGCGAGUGUGCGAAUGCUCGUGAGGUAAAUCGAUUAAUGCUAGAUUGACAAAGUGCAUGAUUUCUGUGCCCUCGAUAUUUUUGGGCUUAAUGGGCCAAAAUUGGAAUGAUGGGCCAACGGGCCCAAUUCGGUAAGAACCCUCGGUACGUGAUUCUGUUAGUACGUGAAAGGUAAGAAUAUGCAUGAAAAACCCUAAAAUAGAUAAAUUAUUAAAAUACCUUUAAAAGUGGAAAAUUUACAGUUUUACCCCUAGUAGAUAAAUUACCGAAAUACCCCUAGGGUUAAAUUGACCUAAAUGCAUGUUUGACUAUUGUUAUUUACUGCAUGCCAUGUUAUUAUCUGAUGCAUGGGACUGGGAUAUUGACGGAGGAAGUACUGAAAGUGGCUUGUCCACGUACUGGAGGCUUUGCCUCAAUUUACUGUUAACUGAGCAGCAAGGCUGCAACUGUUGAGUGUUGGGCUGGGUGAGUUGAGCUAUUCCCUACAUGGAGUGUAUGGCUGGUACGGGUGGAGUGUAGUGGUUGGUGGGUUGAGUAGUCUCCCCAAAUGGGCUUGCAUAUGUUAUUGAUGUUGCAUGUAUUUUGAAAUGGGCCUAUGGGCCAUACUGUUAUCUGAAUAAGGGGCUAAGGCCAAGUUUAUUGUAAUCUGAAAAGGGCUCUGGUCCAGUACCACUGUUGCCUGAAUGGGCUUAGGCCCAAUAGGCUUGACCUGACUUGGGCUUUGAAUGGGUUUUCCUUACACACUGAGUUUCCCCAAACUCACCCCUUUUAUUUUCAUCCACGCAGGAAAUCCCCAACCAUAGUGGGCUUGGAGCUGUGAGGGAAUUCGGAAUGGCCACCCGUUCUGAAAGUUUGAUUUUCUUCUGGUGAACUGGACAUCCUUUUAUUUACGUUUGAAGUUUUUGGGCUUUUAAAUGUAAUAAGGCCACUUAAUUAUUUUUGAUGGUUUUAAUAUGUAUUACUAAGAUAGAUAAUACUUAUUUUAACUGUUGAAAUUGGAUAGCUUUAGGGCGCGUUUUCAAAAACAACAGUUGAUUUCAAAAUAACACGACAACAAGCAAAGCUUCCGCAAUGAAAGUAUUUUCCAAAAUUAAUCACUUUUCCUAAAAAUGACUUAAUCAAAUCGGUUUCCUAGACAUAUCCAUGACGUUAAGGUGUGGCAAUGGCGGUAUGCAUGUCUAGGAUUGGAUCCGAAGGGAGCUUGGUACUUAAGCAGUCCGAUGGACUCACCACCUCUUUUCCGGUUUCCUACCUGGUGCACAGCUUCCAUUCACCUUAACCCUUAAUGAAUUAAUCUUUUGAACAUCAAG
RNAcentral lists this long non-coding RNA (2453 nucleotides) under Gossypium barbadense (sea-island cotton). RNAcentral's name for it is "long non-coding RNA (GBAR_LNC006605)". The record is from RNAcentral. Lineage: Eukaryota; Viridiplantae; Streptophyta; Magnoliopsida; Malvales; Malvaceae.